This 580-nucleotide ribosomal RNA is filed under the name uncultured bacterium. Its description in RNAcentral is "bacterial SSU rRNA". It matches the Rfam family "Bacterial small subunit ribosomal RNA", at positions 338 to 917 of the family's 1533-position model. The record is from RNAcentral.
CCUACGGGAGGCAGCAGUAAGGAAUAUUGGACAAUGGUCGCAAGACUGAUCCAGCCAUGCCGCGUGCAGGAUGACAGCCCUAUGGGUCGUAAACUGCUUUUGUGCGAGAAAAAACCACUCUACGUGUAGAGUGCUGAUUGUAUCGUAAGAAUAAGGAUCGGCUAACUCCGUGCCAGCAGCCGCGGUAAUACGGAGGAUCCAAGCGUUAUCCGGAUUCAUUGGGUUUAAAGGGUGCGUAGGCGGAACGAUAAGUCAGUGGUGAAAGCCUGUAGCUUAACUACAGAACUGCCAUUGAUACUGUCGAUCUUGAGUACAUUUGAUGUGGGCGGAAUGUGUCAUGUAGCGGUGAAAUGCUUAGAUAUGACACAGAACACCGAUUGCGAAGGCAGCUCACAAAACUGUAACUGACGCUGAGGCACGAAAGCGUGGGUAUCAAACAGGAUUAGAUACCCUGGUAGUCCACGCUGUAAACUAUGAUUACUCGAUGUUUGCGAUAUACUGUAAGCGUCCAAGCGAAAGCGAUAAGUAAUCCACCUGGGAGUACGCUCGCAAGAGUGAAACUUCAAAUUGAAUUGACGGG